AAUAGUUCUAAGAGGGAAGUUCAUAGCAAUACACCUACAUUCAGAAGCAAGAAAGAUCCCAAAUAAACAACCUAAGUG
Mustela erminea (ermine) is the source of this 78-nucleotide long non-coding RNA. RefSeq lists it as uncharacterized. Lineage: Eukaryota; Metazoa; Chordata; Mammalia; Carnivora; Mustelidae. The transcript is spliced from 3 exons. The record is from RefSeq and is a predicted model, not a curated record.